Molecule: transfer RNA, 73 nt
Filed under: bacterium
Lineage: Bacteria
Description: tRNA-Arg
Rfam family: tRNA
About the family: Transfer RNA (tRNA) molecules are approximately 80 nucleotides in length. Their secondary structure includes four short double-helical elements and three loops (D, anti-codon, and T loops).
Source: RNAcentral
UUCACGAUAGCUUAACAGGUUAAAGUUUUGUGCUUCGAACGCAAAGAUGCAAGUUCAAGUCUUGCUCGUGAAA